AGCGAACGCUGGCGGCGUACUUAACACAUGCAAGUCGAACGGGGAUCGUCGGGUUAGCAAUAAUUCGGCGGUCCUAGUGGCGUACGGGUGAGUAACACGUGGGCAACUUGCCCUUGAGACCGGGAUACCCUCUCGAAAGGGAGGCUAAUACUGGAUACGUUCUUCGGAUCGCAAGAUCUGGAGAGGAAAGGUGGCGCAAGCUACCGCUCUUGGAGAGGCUCGCGGCCUAUCAGCAGUUGGUGAGGUAAUGGCUCACCAAGGCUAUGACGGGUAGCUGGUCUGAGAGGACGACCAGCCACACGGGAACUGAGACACGGUCCCGACUCCUACGGGAGGCAGCAGUGGGGAAUUUUCCGCAAUGGGCGAAAGCCUGACGGAGUGACGCCGCGUGGGGGACGAAGGCC
RNAcentral lists this ribosomal RNA (404 nucleotides) under uncultured bacterium. RNAcentral's name for it is "bacterial SSU rRNA". It matches the Rfam family "Bacterial small subunit ribosomal RNA", at positions 29 to 416 of the family's 1533-position model. The record is from RNAcentral.